This 429-nucleotide ribosomal RNA is filed under the name Bacteroidota bacterium. RNAcentral describes it as "Bacteroidetes bacterium partial 16S ribosomal RNA". It matches the Rfam family "Bacterial small subunit ribosomal RNA", at positions 355 to 776 of the family's 1533-position model. Lineage: Bacteria; Pseudomonadati; Bacteroidota. The record is from RNAcentral.
UAGGGAAUCUUCCGCAAUGGACGCAAGUCUGACGGAGCAACGCCGCGUGAGUGAAGAAGGAUUUCGGUUCGUAAAACUCUGUUGUUAGAGAAGAACAGCGCAUAGAGUAACUGUUAUGCGUGUGACGGUAUCUAACCAGAAAGCCACGGCUAACUACGUGCCAGCAGCCGCGGUAAUACGUAGGUGGCAAGCGUUGUCCGGAUUUAUUGGGCGUAAAGCGAGCGCAGGCGGUCAAUUAAGUCUGAUGUGAAAGCCCCCGGCUCAACCGGGGAGGGGCAUUGGAAACUGGUUGACUUGAGUGCAGAAGGGGAGAGUGGAAUUCCAUGUGUAGCGGUGAAAUGCGUAGAUAUAUGGAGGAACACCAGUGGCGAAGGCGACUCUCUGGUCUGUAACUGACGCUGAGGCUCGAAAGCGUGGGUAGCAAACAGG